AGGGUUUGAUCCUGGCUCAGAACGUACGCUGGCGGCACGCCUAACACAUGCAAGUCGAACGCAGUAGCAAUACUGAGUGGCAGACGGGUGAGUAACAUGUGGGAAUCUGCCUUGUGGUUCAGGACAACAUUGGGAAACCGAUGCUAAUACUGGAUAAGCCCUUACGGGGAAAGUUUUAAUGCCAUAAGAUGAGCCCGCAUUUGAUUAGUUAGUUGGUGAGGUAAUGGCUCACCAAGACAAUGAUCAAUAGCUGAUCUGAGAGGAUGAUCAGCCACACUGGGACUGAGACACGGCCCAGACUCCUACGGGAGGCAGCAGUGGGGAAUCUUGCACAAUGGAGGAAACUCUGAUGCAGCGAUGCCGCGUGAGUGAAGAAGGCCUUUGGGUUGUAAAGCUCUUUUGUAGGGGAAGAUAAUGACUGUACCCUAAGAAUAAGGUCCGGCUAACUUCGUGCCAGCAGCCGCGGUAAUUCA
Molecule: ribosomal RNA, 473 nt
Filed under: uncultured Pedomicrobium sp.
Lineage: Bacteria; Pseudomonadati; Pseudomonadota; Alphaproteobacteria; Hyphomicrobiales; Hyphomicrobiaceae
Description: bacterial SSU rRNA
Rfam family: Bacterial small subunit ribosomal RNA
Source: RNAcentral